AAUCAAGUGGAGGACAAGUCUGGUGCCAGCACCCGCGGUAAUUCCAGCUCCACUAGCGUAUAUUAAAGUUGUUGCAGUUAAAAAGCUCGUAGUUGAACCUCUGUCGGGGGCUAGUUUUGGCUUUGGUCAGGCUAGUUCUAGGCAUCCGCCUACAAGACUUAGAGGGCAUUCAGUUGUUCACUAGGAGGAGUAGGCAUUUUACUUUGAAAAAAUUAGAGUGUUUAAGGCAGGCAGUCGCCCGCAUAUAUUAGCAUGGAAUAAUAGAAUAGGACACUUUUCCAUUUCGUUGGUUAUUGGAAUCGUGUAAUGAUUAAUAGGGACAGUUGUGGGCAUUUGUAUUUAAUUGUCAGAGGUGAAAUUCUUGGAUUUAUUAAAGACAAACUAACGCGAAAGCAUUUGCCAAGGAUGUUUUCAUUAAUCAAGAACGAAAGUUAGGGGAUCAAAGACGAUCAGAUACCGUCCUAGUCUUAACUAUAAACUAUUCCGACUCAAUGUUUGACUGGCUUAUAUAACCAGUUGAGCGUUGUAUGAGAAAUCAAAGUCUUUAGGUUCUGGGGGGAGUAUGGUUGCAAAGCUGAAACUUAAAGGAAUUGACGGAAGAGCACAACCAGGAGUGGAUUCUGCGGCUUAAUUUGACUCAACACGGGGAAACUUACCAGGUUAAAACAAUAGUGGGAUUGACAGUUUGAGAGCGCUUUCUUGAUUGGUUGGGUGGUGGUGCAUGGCCGUUCUUAGUUGGUGGAGUGAUUUGUCUGCUUAAUUGCGUUAACGAACGAGACCUUAACCUGCUUACUAGACUGGCGAUCAUCAAUCGUUAGCUCUUCUUAGAGGGACUUUGGUUGUUUUAACUCCAAGGAAGUUUGAGGCAAUAACAGGUCUGUGAUGCCCUUAGAUAUCCUGGGCCGCACGCGUCAUACAAUGACUAGUUCAGAAAGUUUUCUCCUGACCCGAAAGGGGAUGGGUAAUCUUGAUAAUACUAGUCGUGUUAGGGAUCGAUCUUUGCAAUUAUAGAUCUUGAACGAGGAAUUCCUAGUAAGUGCGGUUCAUCAGACCGUACUGAUUACGUCCCUGCUCUUUGUACACACCGCCCGUCGCUUCUACCGAGUGGGUGGUCCGGUGAGAUAAUUGAACUUCGCAGGUAACUGAGAGGAAAGAUUAUCAAACCUAUCCACCU
Molecule: ribosomal RNA, 1174 nt
Filed under: metagenome
Description: SSU rRNA
Rfam family: Eukaryotic small subunit ribosomal RNA
Source: RNAcentral